CAUAGACUUUCUCAUUCAAAAUGCUCUCAGGGAUCAUUUUUGUUGAUUCCUGGUCUUGAAAAAUGAACUUCAUUUAUCCCACGCUCCAUAGGUGGUCAUCUAACAAAUUCUACAAUGAGAAAAUUUAAAAAGGAGGAAUUCAAGAGCUCCCUGUUAAAUGUGAAAUAGCAGCAAAAGCAAAGAGAGGCCAUCACCUGGGACAAUUGAUUCAUAUAAAAUUUGAAAAAGGGAAAUGAUACCAAGUCUGAUAUCGAGUUGAUCAGCCAAAAGCACACCAAGAACUGGGAGCAGACAAGUAUGAUCGGACAUUUUGGUGCCAUGACUUGGAUCGCUCUGCUUAGUGUCUUCAUGGAGUUUCCUGACAUCGCUUCCCAAAGAAGCUAUAUGCACUUGCAUCAUCACAUCAGGAAAACAUCCUAUUCAUGAUAGAAUUUCAC
This 437-nucleotide long non-coding RNA is filed under the name Microcebus murinus (gray mouse lemur). RNAcentral's name for it is "lncRNA (ENSMICG00000048815.1)". The record is from RNAcentral. Lineage: Eukaryota; Metazoa; Chordata; Mammalia; Primates; Cheirogaleidae.